Cyprinus carpio carpio is the source of this 1065-nucleotide long non-coding RNA. NCBI's taxonomy places the organism in Eukaryota, Metazoa, Chordata, Actinopteri, Cypriniformes, Cyprinidae. The record is from Ensembl.
GCAUUGACAUUUGGCCGUUAAACGCUAGUAAGUAGACAGUUUACUUUGAAAUUUGAGAGAUCCAGACCGCGCGCCCUUAUAGCAUAACGCCUAUAAACCUUCAUAAGGUUGAUAUAUGCGUGUAUCUGUGUAUAUUGACGCUUUGGCAAUAACGGAGCAAUAAAGCUCCUGGAAUCUCAACCUUAAAAAGAGGAGGAGGAGAGAGAGAGGGCGGGAGACAGAGCGAGACAGAGUCGGAUUUAUCAGUCGCUGAAAGCAGAUUAAACGGUUAAACUGAAGUGCGUCUCGAAACUCCCAUCGGACUAACCAGCCUUCGCUUUAUUUAUUUACCGUCCCAAAUGAGUGUUCUGUCGGCGCAAGGCGAUGGAUUGUUCACGAAAAUGUUAGGCUACUCUUCGUGUAAGAGCUGAGGACACCGUGGAGAUCCCAUCAUGGCAGCAAGCAAGUGUCCAUGUCUGAUGCAGAGGACCACUGGAUCAAGAAGAAAACAAAGCACCUGCAAACUCUGGAAUUCAUUAUUGAUGAAACAAGACUUCUAAAUCUUUCUCUUUGCUUAAAGUAACCUGCAAAUGCAGUGCCACUGGAAUGCAGAUGGAUAGGACAAAAACUUCAAAAUCCUUCACACUGCAUAUAGUUUUUUUGAGCUAGCCAAUGAAAUCAAUUCAUUUAAUGUUAGCUGUCGAACUAACUGACUGAGGCAUCGGAAUGAUGAGUAGACUCAAAUGAGCAAACCAGUGCUGUAAAGAAUUGGUGAUGCAGUCCAAGGAAAAGUUCCUCCUCAAUGGGAAAAUAUAUAAUCUGACUCUAAGGAUCUCCUCCUUCACCCUAAAUUCCUCCUCCUCCUCCUGCUGGAGCAGGGAGGCUGAUCUCUCGAGGACCAUACCAGACAGUUCCUGUUGUUAGCUCACAUUACCAGCUACCCGGACGACGCGUUCUGCGCUUUCAAUGAUGCUUGCCUGUAUGCCGAGUGCAGAGCGUUGUUGUCCGAAUAUGGUCCUCGGGAGGAAUUUGCCGCCCUCGUGGAGUGGACUCUGGCGAGAAAGGGGUCGCCACUUACUGUCUGCC